UUGUCGAAUGAGCGAAGGUCGUAAAGCUUCACCAUUUCUGAGUUGAUGCCAGCGGAGAAAAUGAGACCCUCGGGAUCAAACGAGCACACCGGCUUGCCCUGGAGGUGCAUGAGGCCCUGCGGGUGGCAACAGGUGGAAAUUGGGUUAAUGGUGAUCUAGACCCUAACACACCCGAAGCGGUCACAGAUCACAGCAGUGCAGGAGGCUUUCCUGGCAGACCUCCGGCGAGAGAAGUUGGGUAAAACCUGGACUGGUCUACUACUACUACUACUUCUAUAAGAGACUCUGAAAAACGCUGUAAUAGCAGUCAUUUUUGGGGGAACGAACAAAGAUAUAUGCCUGUAAGUAUUAUCGGUUUGCAUGUGUUGAGCCACCGUUGGUGUUCAAAUCGUCAAAGUGACAUUCAGACUGCUUGAAGUGACAGCCGAUCACAGGGCACAUCCAUGCAAGCAUUCCCAGGGCUGGGCAAUUUGGAGCCUUGGAAUGGUCGCCUGUCAAUCACAAGUCUUCAUAAAAACCUCACAGAACACCCGGAGAACAUGCUAAUCACACAGAGGGAGGGAUUCGAACCUAGAAUCGAAGAACUGAGAGGCAGAAGUGGGAAAAACUUCAAAACAGUGCUACAACGAUAACUGUAAGAUUACAUUUCUCCUCUUUAAGCAAAUCAAACAAUCACAACAAUUACAGUCAAUUGAUUUUUAUUUUUUGAACUCAUUCCCACCUCCGUAAGUCGCCCACACACACCCAAAAAAAAAAAAAAAUUCCAGGCCGUUGCUCCUAAAAAGCGUUAGCAUGCUAGCUAACGAGACAACAAGGGGGGUUAAACAAGGAUGACG
Syngnathoides biaculeatus (alligator pipefish) is the source of this 836-nucleotide long non-coding RNA. RefSeq lists it as uncharacterized. The transcript has 3 exons. The record is from RefSeq and is a predicted model, not a curated record. Lineage: Eukaryota; Metazoa; Chordata; Actinopteri; Syngnathiformes; Syngnathidae.